RNAcentral lists this ribosomal RNA (499 nucleotides) under uncultured bacterium. Its description in RNAcentral is "partial 16S ribosomal RNA". It matches the Rfam family "Bacterial small subunit ribosomal RNA", at positions 28 to 507 of the family's 1533-position model. The record is from RNAcentral.
GACGAACGCUGGCGGCGUGCCUAAUACAUGCAAGUCGAGCGGACCAACCAGGAGCUUGCUCUUGCUUGGUUAGCGGCGGACGGGUGAGUAACACGUGGGUAACCUGCCCGUAAGACCGGGAUAACUCCGGGAAACCGGAGCUAAUACCGGAUAACACCGAAGACCGCAUGGUCUUUGGUUGAAAGGCGGCUUCGGCUGCCACUUACGGAUGGGCCCGCGGCGCAUUAGCUAGUUGGUGAGGUAACGGCUCACCAAGGCGACGAUGCGUAGCCGGCCUGAGAGGGUGACCGGCCACACUGGGACUGAGACACGGCCCAGACUCCUACGGGAGGCAGCAGUAGGGAAUCUUCCGCAAUGGACGAAAGUCUGACGGAGCGACGCCGCGUGAGCGAAGAAGGUCUUCGGAUCGUAAAGCUCUGUUGUUAGGGAAGAAGAAGCGCCGUUCGAACAGGGCGGCGCGGUGACGGUACCUAACGAGAAAGCCCCGGCUAACUACGUG